Molecule: ribosomal RNA, 408 nt
Filed under: uncultured bacterium
Lineage: Bacteria
Description: partial 16S ribosomal RNA
Rfam family: Bacterial small subunit ribosomal RNA
Source: RNAcentral
GACGAACGCUGGCGGCGUGCUUAACACAUGCAAGUCGAACGAAGUGGCGAACGGGUGAGUAACGCGUAAUCAACCUGCCCUUCAGAGGGGGACAACAGUUGGAAACGACUGCUAAUACCGCAUACUGAAGGAGGGGUUUGCGUCUGAUUAGCUAGUUGGAGGGGUAACGGCCCACCAAGGCGAUGAGCAGUAGCCGGUCUGAGAGGGUGGACGGCCACAUUGGGACUGGGACCCGGCCCAAGCCCCUAUGGGGAGCAGCCAUGGGGAAUCUUCCGCAAUUGGCGAAAGUCUGACGGAGCAACGCCGCGUUGGUGAUGACGGCCUUCGGGUUGUAAAGCUCUGUUAAGCGGGACGCGGUACCGGAAUAGAAAGCCACGGCUAACUACGUGCCAGCAGCCGCGGUAAUUC